AUUGAACGCUGGCGGCAUGCUUUACACAUGCAAGUCGAACGGUAACAGGCCGCAAGGUGCUGACGAGUGGCGAACGGGUGCGUAAUGCAUCGGAACGUGCCCAGUCGUGGGGGAUAACUACUCGAAAGAGUAGCUAAUACCGCAUACGAUCUAUGGAUGAAAGCGGGGGACCGUAAGGCCUCGCGCGAUUGGAGCGGCCGAUGUCAGAUUAGGUAGUUGGUGGGGUAAAGGCUCACCAAGCCAACGAUCUGUAGCUGGUCUGAGAGGACGACCAGCCACACUGGGACUGAGACACGGUCCAGACUCCUACGGGAGGCAGCAGUGGGGAAUUUUGGACAAUGGGCGAAAGCCUGAUCCAGCAAUGCCGCGUGCAGGAAGAAGGCCUUCGGGUUGUAAACUGCUUUUGUAAGGAAAGAAAAGGCUCUGGUUAAUACACGGGGCUAAUGACGGUACCGUAAGAAUAAGCAACGGCUAACUACGUG
This 482-nucleotide ribosomal RNA is filed under the name uncultured bacterium. RNAcentral describes it as "partial 16S ribosomal RNA". It matches the Rfam family "Bacterial small subunit ribosomal RNA", at positions 30 to 507 of the family's 1533-position model. The record is from RNAcentral.